RNAcentral lists this transfer RNA (68 nucleotides) under Yininemertes pratensis. RNAcentral's name for it is "tRNA-Ile". Lineage: Eukaryota; Metazoa; Nemertea; Pilidiophora; Heteronemertea; Lineidae. The record is from RNAcentral.
GGUUUUACGCCGGGGGAACGGGUUACAUUGAUGUUGUAGAAUAAGGAAUAAUUUUGUUCUUGAGGCCA